UGGCGGACGGGUGAGUAACGCGUGGGUAACCUGCCUCAUACAGGGGGAUAACAGUUGGAAACGGCUGCUAAUACCGCAUAAGCGCACAGUACCGCAUGGUACGGUGUGAAAAACUCCGGUGGUAUGAGAUGGACCCGCGUCUGAUUAGGUAGUUGGUGGGUAACGGCCUACCAAGCCGACGAUCAGUAGCCGACCUGAGAGGGUGACCGGCCACAUUGGGACUGAGACACGGCCCAA
RNAcentral lists this ribosomal RNA (237 nucleotides) under uncultured bacterium. RNAcentral describes it as "partial 16S ribosomal RNA". It matches the Rfam family "Bacterial small subunit ribosomal RNA", at positions 96 to 334 of the family's 1533-position model. The record is from RNAcentral.